UGGGGAAUUUUUUGCAAUGGGGGAAACCCUGACGAAGCAACGCCGCGUGGAGGAUGAAGGCCUUCGGGUCGUAAACUCCUGUCGACCGGGACGAAAGUAGCCUGACCCAAUACGUCGGGCUGUUGACUGUACCGGGGGAGGAAGCCACGGCUAACUCUGUGCCAGCAGCCGCGGUAAUACAGAGGUGGCAAGCGUUGUUCGGAAUUACUGGGCGUAAAGGGCGCGUAGGCGGCUUGGUCAGUCCCGUGUGAAAUCCCUCGGCUCAACUGAGGAACUGCACGGGAAACAACCAGGCUUGAGUUCGGGAGAGGGAAGCGGAAUUCCGGGUGUAGCGGUGAAAUGCGUAGAUAUCCGGAGGAACACCGGUGGCGAAGGCGGCUUCCUGGACCGACACUGACGCUGAGGCGCGAAAGCUAGGGGAGCAA
RNAcentral lists this ribosomal RNA (425 nucleotides) under uncultured bacterium. RNAcentral's name for it is "bacterial SSU rRNA". It matches the Rfam family "Bacterial small subunit ribosomal RNA", at positions 355 to 771 of the family's 1533-position model. The record is from RNAcentral.